Molecule: ribosomal RNA, 492 nt
Filed under: uncultured bacterium
Lineage: Bacteria
Description: partial 16S ribosomal RNA
Rfam family: Bacterial small subunit ribosomal RNA
Source: RNAcentral
AGUGAACGCUGGCGGUAGGCCUAACACAUGCAAGUCGAACGGCAGCACAGUAAGAGCUUGCUCUUACGGGUGGCGAGUGGCGGACGGGUGAGGAAUACAUCGGAAUCUACUUUUUCGUGGGGGAUAACGUAGGGAAACUUACGCUAAUACCGCAUACGACCUACGGGUGAAAGCAGGGGAUCUUCGGACCUUGCGCGAUUGAAUGAGCCGAUGUCGGAUUAGCUAGUUGGCGGGGUAAAUGCCCACCAAGGCGACGAUCCGUAGCUGGUCCGAGUGGAUGAUCAGCCACACUGGAACUGAGACACGGUCCAGACUCCUACGGGAGGCAGCAGUGGGGAAUAUUGGACAAUGGGCGCAAGCCUGAUCCAGCCAUACCGCGUGGGUGAAGAAGGCCUUCGGGUUGUAAAGCCCUUUUGUUGGGAAAGAAAAGCAGCAGGUUAAUACCCCGCUGUUCUGACGGUACCCAAAGAAUAAGCACCGGCUAACUUCGUG